This 253-nucleotide ribosomal RNA is filed under the name uncultured bacterium. Its description in RNAcentral is "partial 16S ribosomal RNA". It matches the Rfam family "Bacterial small subunit ribosomal RNA", at positions 524 to 776 of the family's 1533-position model. The record is from RNAcentral.
UACAGAGGGUGCAAGCGUUGUUCGGAAUUAUUGGGCGUAAAGGGAGUGUAGGCGGUUUGUUAAGUCUUCUGUGAAAUCUACGGGCUUACCCUGUAAAGUGCAGAGGAAACUAGCAGGCUUGAGUGUCGGAGAGGAUAGGGGAAUUCCCGGUGUAGAGGUGAAAUUCGUAGAGAUCGGGAGGAACACCAGUGGCGAAGGCGCCUAUCUGGCCGAAAACUGACGCUGAGACUCGAAAGCAUGGGGAGCAAACAGG